UACGUAGGUGGCAAGCGUUGUCCGGAUUUACUGGGUGUAAAGGGCGUGUAGCCGGGCUUACAAGUCAGAUGUGAAAUCCGGGGGCUCAACCCCCGAACUGCAUUUGAAACUGUAGGUCUUGAGUAUCGGAGAGGCAGGCGGAAUUCCUAGUGUAGCGGUGAAAUGCGUAGAUAUUAGGAGGAACACCAGUGGCGAAGGCGGCCUGCUGGACGACAACUGACGGUGAGGCGCGAAAGCGUGGGAAGCAAACAGG
This 253-nucleotide ribosomal RNA is filed under the name uncultured bacterium. RNAcentral's name for it is "partial 16S ribosomal RNA". It matches the Rfam family "Bacterial small subunit ribosomal RNA", at positions 524 to 776 of the family's 1533-position model. The record is from RNAcentral.